This 1056-nucleotide ribosomal RNA is filed under the name Triticum aestivum (bread wheat). RNAcentral's name for it is "partial small subunit ribosomal RNA". Lineage: Eukaryota; Viridiplantae; Streptophyta; Magnoliopsida; Poales; Poaceae. The record is from RNAcentral.
AUGACUGCAAUUUUAGAGAGACGCGAAAGCACAAGCCUGUGGGGUCACUUCUGCAACUAGAUAACUAGCAGCGAGAAUUGUCUUUACAUCGGAUGGUUCGGUGUUUUGAUGAUCCCUACCUUAUUGACCGCAACUUCUGUAUUUAUUGUCACCUUCAUAGCUGCCCCUCCAAUAGAUAUUGAUGGUAUUCAUGAGCCUGUUUCUGGUUCUUUACUUUAUGGAAACAAUAUUAUCUCUGGUGCUAUUAUCCCUACUUCUGCGGCAAUCGGAUUGCACUUUUACCCAAUUUGGGAAGCUGCAUCUGUUGAUGAGUGUUUAUACAAUGGUGGUCCUUAUGAGCUAAUUGUUGUACACUUCUUACUUGGUGUAGCUUGUUAUAUGGGUCGUGAGUGGGAACUUAGUUUCCGUCUGGGUAUGCGACCUUAGAUUGCUGUUGCAUAUUCAGCUCCUGUUGCAGUUGCUACUACUGUUUUCUUGAUUUACCCUAUUGGUCAAGGAAGCUUUUCUGAUGGUAUGCCUUUAGGAAUCUCUGGUACUUUCAACUUUAUGAUUGUAUUCCAGGCAGAACACAACAUCCUUAUGCAUCCAUUCCACAUGUUAGGUGUAGCUGGUGUAUUCGGUGGUUCCCUAUUCAGUGCUAUGCAUGGUUCCUUGGUAACCUCUAGUUUGCUCAGGGAAACUACUGAAAAUGAAUCUGCUAAUGAGGGUUACAAAUUUGGUCAAGAGGAAGAAACUUAUAAUAUUGUGGCUGCUCAUGGUUAUUUUGGCCGAUUAAUCUUCCAAUAUGCUAGUUUCAACAACUCUCGUUCUUUACACUUCUUCUUGGCUGCUUGGCCUGUAGGAAUCUGGUUCACUGCUUUCGGUAUUAGUACUAUGGUGUUCAACCUAGGUUUCAAUUUCAACCAAUCUGUAGUUGAUAGUCAAGGUCGUGUUAUUAAUACUUGGGCUGAUAUCAUCAACCAUGCUAACCUUGGUAUGGAAGUAAUGCACGAACGUACUGCUCACAACUUCCCUCUAGACUUAGUUGCUGUUGAAGUUCCAUCUAUUAAUGGAUAA